CUUGUGUGCUGUAGGUGGUUUACAGCACAUUUCAUAAAGUAUUCCCACCCAGAAGAGAGUCCCCUGUUAGAAGGGGCCACCCCGUGCAUAAGUUUACCCACACUACACACUACACACAAGCAUACACACGUGAAAAGACAGAUGGGAGGUGAGGACAGGCCCUGUCCGACAGAGCCCUGCUCCCCUACCCCACACACUUUGCCCACAUGGGAUCCACCCAUCUUGAGUUACAGAAACUAGAAACUUCCCUUCUGAUGUAUAGAGAGCCGGGAGGUAAUGGGGGCAGUUAGCAGUACUCCCGUUGUGAAGAUUGACUGGGUACCCCAUGUCUAAAGCCACUGGUUUGAGUCAACAUUUUUCUUUUUUUGGUAAAACAUGGUUUUUGGAGUACCGAACUCACAGGGGCUUGCCUUAAUUCAGUAGUUUCAAGAUGUAUGCGCUAUAUUCUAUGUGUUAAAAUGGUAAAAUAUUCUAUGUAGCCCCAAGAGUGGGUAAAACAAAGUUUAAUGCCUAAAUAAAUAAGCCAAAAGGUGUCACAACAGCUGGAUUUUUUUAGAGAAAAUGGACAUAAAAAACUAGGCUAUGCGUCAUGGACAAAAGUGACGGCACCUGGGACUGCACUACGUCAUGCACUAUUUUCUACGCCAUUUCCUAGCCUGCACUUUGACCUCCAAAGAAACGCUGUGUGGUGCCUGUUCCUUGUUAGUGAGCUCACCCCUGAGUCGUCACUUAUUUCACUCUGCGGAGUUAGCCUCCUGGAGCUGGCGUCCUUAUUUGAGUUCUCUGCUUCCUUAGCCAUAAUACUUUGUAGGGUCUGAGAACUCCUGUCUCGACCAUUUCCAACAGCACAGAAUCCUGAUGUAAUGUAAAUCUCACCCAUGGUGACCCAUGCAGUCACAGAUCCUCUUCUAGUGGUGAAUACUUGUGUGUUACAUGUAUUCAUUCGUCACAGCCCCUCAGAAAGCAGACACUACGAUUUGAAGGUGGGAGUAGGAGGCCUGAAAAGGAGCUCUCAGAGCGCUGCAGCUGCUGGGAAUUGGCUGUCUUAACAGGAAGCUGAAUUUACCGUUGAAUGCUUUGGCUUGGGGUCUGCACGAGAUCCUUUAGGGCAGACGAGGUUCUGUUUAAACUACUCACAUGUAGAGCCCAUCUGCAGAAAAUUCUCUUUAACAAAACGCUAAGACUACAGAAGCCAGUAACUACUGCGGUGGAGUGUGGCCACCGGCUGCUCUCUGAGUAGCCGUCUAUCACACAGAUUAAAACUAAGGCAGGCUUGAGUGAUGUUGGCCUUUCCCAAUUUCCUAAGAACCGUUCAAUUUUUAAAGCUCAAGCAUUAAAUUCACCUUCUUCCCAUUGUGUCUGCAGAUAGCCACAAGCUUUAGAGGCCUAGGAAUCUGAGCAGGCGGGCUGUUGCCAAAGUCUAGCGGUUCAUUCUGCCCAAAGGUUAGACGUGUUUAAAACUGCUCUCUGUGGUACCAUGUGUCUGUUUACUUAUGCUCUUGAGCAACAAUAAACCACUAGUUUACCUUCUGGAGUUUUCAUUGUUUUGACCUAAUCAAUUAUUGGAAGGUGAUAAAAAGCACCUCCUAGUCACACAACAGGACACGGAAAUAAACAUGUUGUCACCA
This 1628-nucleotide long non-coding RNA is filed under the name Rattus norvegicus (Norway rat). Its description in RNAcentral is "long non-coding RNA NONRATT009076". Lineage: Eukaryota; Metazoa; Chordata; Mammalia; Rodentia; Muridae. The record is from RNAcentral.